Long non-coding RNA from Anneissia japonica, 634 nucleotides. RefSeq lists it as uncharacterized. The transcript is spliced from 3 exons. NCBI's taxonomy places the organism in Eukaryota, Metazoa, Echinodermata, Crinoidea, Comatulida, Comatulidae. The record is from RefSeq and is a predicted model, not a curated record.
AUUACUCAAUGGACUACGAAGGAGACUUUACAAUUAAUAACAAAUCUCAAGACAGACAGUGUAUAUUUAAAUUGAACAUCAUUGGAAAUGGGCUGGACUCCGGCCUAAUAGGCGUUCCUGAUGCUCAUUACGUGAUGUAGACAAAGAGGCCGCAGCUAUCAUGAAAGACUCAAUCGUGAAAGGGCAACAGGAUUUACCAAUUAUUCAUAGAUAGCCAAAAAUUGUGUCACUCAUCAAGAUUCCUGCAAAAUUAUGCAAUUAUGGAUAUGAAAUUAAUUAAAAUGUAGUUUACAUUUUAUUUUUUAAAAGUUUUCCUCGGCAAUAAUCUCAAACAUAAUGUUAGCAAUAUGUAGAAAUUAUUGUAGGCUUUGUUUAUUAAUAUUGAAUUAUUACUGCUAAUGUUUGUCUUAAUAAUAGAGAAAGUAUCCCGUUUGUUGUAAAGAAUAUAGACAUGUAAGAUAAUAGGAUAUAACAUUUUGAGGAUUAAAAUCAGACUUAUUGAUUUUUGCCGGAUGUACAUGAUAUAGCCCUACAUUAUAUAGAUAUAAAAUGUAUAUAUAUAUAUAUAUAUAUAUAUAUAUAUAUAUCACAACUUGAUUUCAAUGCUUGAAAAUAAAUAUCAAAUGGAAUUGUG